Hespellia stercorisuis DSM 15480 is the source of this 74-nucleotide transfer RNA. It matches the Rfam family "tRNA". From Rfam's summary of the family: Transfer RNA (tRNA) molecules are approximately 80 nucleotides in length. Their secondary structure includes four short double-helical elements and three loops (D, anti-codon, and T loops). Lineage: Bacteria; Bacillati; Bacillota; Clostridia; Lachnospirales; Lachnospiraceae. The record is from Rfam.
GGACCUUUAGCUCAGCUGGUUAGAGCAAUCGGCUCAUAACCGAUCGGUCCUGGGUUCGAGUCCCCGAAGGUCCA